UCUUGCUCACUGGAUAACACACAGCAGGUGCAUGAUUCUUUCCCUUGCUUGUGUUUCACAUAAUUUUGUUGGGUUUUUUUUUCAGUAUGAAGACUUAUAACGUUUCUUUUCUAAAAUGAAGACUUGAAGAGAACUGAUUCACUGACUUUUCCUUCUGUUGGCCCUGACUUCCUGGGCUGCUGGAAAGAAGUAAUAGAAGAAAGAAAAAAGUGGAAAGAAGAAAAGACAUCUAAUGUGAGGAAAAACUGGGCAGAAUUCGUGUGUGUGAAGAAGGAAGGAGCAAAGCAAGAGGAUUUACUGUGAUGCAGAGCAGCCACCCCACUUCUAUGUUAACAAGGUUACUUGUGUGAAUAUCACUCGGCUGCUGCAUUUCUUUCUUCACUAGACCAAGUUUUAAUUGGAACUCUGCCACAG
RNAcentral lists this long non-coding RNA (414 nucleotides) under Zonotrichia albicollis (white-throated sparrow). RNAcentral describes it as "lncRNA (ENSZALG00000004460.1)". The record is from RNAcentral. Lineage: Eukaryota; Metazoa; Chordata; Aves; Passeriformes; Passerellidae.